Molecule: transfer RNA, 67 nt
Filed under: Arcuatula senhousia (Asian date mussel)
Lineage: Eukaryota; Metazoa; Mollusca; Bivalvia; Mytilida; Mytilidae
Description: tRNA-Lys
Source: RNAcentral
AUGCUUAAAGCUUUAUGUUUGAAGCAUAGUACUUUUAAUACUGGGAAUCUUUUUUUAGAUAAGCAUA